This is a long non-coding RNA of Ursus americanus (American black bear), 1921 nucleotides long. The record is from Ensembl. Lineage: Eukaryota; Metazoa; Chordata; Mammalia; Carnivora; Ursidae.
AUGAGUACUAUAGAACACAACAUAAGGAAAGUGACAAGGAAAUUGAAGGGAAUGGAUCAAAGGCCCAGCCAACCAAGGUUCCUAAUGAAAAGUGUCACCUGGAGGCUGGGAGCCAGGAGUAUGGAACCAGACAACACGACAUUGCAGGAAGUGUUCCUCAGCAGAGCGCCUCAUCCAGGGAGAGCCUGGCAGCAGAUUCCAGCUCAUAAUGAGCCCCAGGACUGCAGUUCCUCUGAAUGUCUGUUCCACCCAUUGAUGACCGUGGCAACAGCACGACAGGUUGUGCUUCUGAGACAGAUGUGAUCUUACUCUCCUUGUGAUUUAUUCUCUAGCAUCCAGUGAUUGUAAGCAUUAAUGAGAAUUAUGGAUGCUUUCUCAAUCUUAUAAGCCCCCCAAGUGAACCCCCCUUCAGUGAUGCAAGUCUUGCUAGUCAGUUGUGAUCUCUUACUGAUGUUUGCACAGAAAUGUAAAUUCCUUAUGGAAUUUGGUUCUGGUGGGGGUUUUUUGUUUGUUUGUUUGUUUUAAAGAUUUUACUCAUCCAUUUGACAGACAGACAGCCAGUGAGAGAGGGAACACAAGCAGGGGGAGUGGGAGAGGAAGAAGCAGGCUUCCAGCGGAGGAGCCUGAUGUGGGGCUCGAUCCCAGAACUCCAGGAUCACGCCCUGAGCCGAAGGCAGCCACUUAAUGACUGAGCCACCCAGGUGUCCCUGGAUCUGGCGGUUUUGGACUGAAACUCUUCAUCACGGGGCUAGGGUGCAGAAAAGAAGCUCUCUUCCUCAGAAGAAAUUUUGGGCAUUAUGAAGUCUAAAUAAGUCCCCUUUCAGAGUUUGAUGUGAGGUGUGUGUUUUCCAACAGCCACCUGGCUUAGUUGGGGCUUGCUUUACAACAAGCAAACAUCGCUAGUAACUUUGUUACAAUCUAUCAAAGUCAUUGAGAAUUGGGUACGUUCUCUCCCACACAAUUAGAAAAAAUAAUCUAAACUAGGAAAAAGUAUUUGGAAAAAUGGAUGAUUUUGUUUAUUUGCAGCAAAAUUUCAAAACCUGGGAAGAUCAAACAUGGAAAUCAUAGCUAGAUAUCACAGGUUGUGCUGGCCAGAGGUCGCUGUGAAACAAUAGAGAAACACAGGACUUGCAGUAAUAAGACCUGAGGUCAAGUCUCAAUUCUACCAUUUACUAGUUGUGUGAUUUUAGGUGUCCAGAUUUCUGAGCUCUUGUCCCCUUCUUUGUAAAAUAGAGGUGGCAUGUAUUUGUUCCUCAAGGGUUACUGUUAACAACAAUGAGAUAAUGAAUGCAAAAACACUUUUAAAACUGUGAAUAUUCAAUGUUAGUGCUUAAUUAACGGCUGUUCUAGACUGUUACCUUGAAAGUCCCAAAGAACCAUGUCUUCUGGAAUUCACGCCCUGGUACCGUCCCAUCUAUACCGAUGGCUUGGCCACAUGACUUGUUUCGGCCAAUGAGAUAGUAGCAAACGCGACACAAGUGGAGGCUCGAUGAGCACUUGCAAAUAGGAGCCUGUCCUCUUAGAAUCUCCACCUUGUAAAGAAGCUUGGGCUAGACUUCUCAAAAAUGAAAGGCCACAUGGGAAGAGAUUUCCAAGGAUGAAAGACUGCCUCGCACAUUCCAGUCCCAGCCAAACUCCUCACCAGAUGGAGGCACAUAAAUGAGCUUCUGUUAUCCUGUGUGGAGCGCGUGAACCCAGUGGCUGAGUCAAGUCAACCCGCAGAAUCACGAGAAAUGACAAAUCGUUAUUGUUUUAAGUUUUGGAGUGGUUUAUUAUGCAGUCAUAUGUAACUGAAAUAAUAGCUCUAAGAGAACGGGAAGUUGGAAUUGAUUUGAUAUGAAAUCAAGAAGAAGGCCUGGAGAAUAAGGUGUCGUUGGUUGAAUACAUGAGAAUAAAAUAGGUUUUCCUGCAUAAUCGGACA